UACAGAGGGUGCAAGCGUUAAUCGGAAUUACUGGGCGUAAAGCGUGCGUAGUCGGUUAUCUAAGUCGGAUGUGAAAUCCCCGGGCUCAACCUGGGAAUUGCAUUCGAUACUGGAUAGCUAGAGUUCGGCAGAGGGAAGUGGAAUUUCGGGUGUAGCGGUGAAAUGCGUAGAUAUCUGGAGGAAUACCGGUGGCGAAGGCGGCAUCCUGGACCGACAUUGACGCUGAUGAGCGAAAGCUAGGGGAGCAAACGGG
RNAcentral lists this ribosomal RNA (253 nucleotides) under uncultured bacterium. RNAcentral's name for it is "partial 16S ribosomal RNA". It matches the Rfam family "Bacterial small subunit ribosomal RNA", at positions 524 to 776 of the family's 1533-position model. The record is from RNAcentral.